Molecule: long non-coding RNA, 2578 nt
Organism: Oreochromis niloticus (Nile tilapia)
Lineage: Eukaryota; Metazoa; Chordata; Actinopteri; Cichliformes; Cichlidae
Exons: 3
Source: RefSeq, a predicted model, not a curated record
CCUGCAACAGACAGCUGCUGGGGUUUGGGAGACAACUGAACUAAUGUUUCAAAUAGAAUAGAAUAGAAUAGAAUAUGUUAUAGCUUUAGAAGCUGAAAAGACAGAAUCGAGUGGACGUACUUGUUUACCAGAGAAAGAAAGAUAGAAAGAUUUGGCUCAUGCGAGGGUUUUAUUUAAUGGAUUAAAAUUAUCUACAAACUUACGGAAGCUUGUGUUAUAACUAAUGGUGUCCAAUCAUCAGCCUCCCCACUGUGAAGAGGAACGAGGCAGGGCUGUCCUCUGUCCCCUCUCCUCUUUGCAUUAGCACUUGGACCUCUAGCUGAGGCCAUUCGCCAAGAUGUGCAUGAUAUAAGAGUGUGUCACGCUGACCUAGUAGGUGUGGCUGUUGCUCUUCUCUUCCUCCUCCUGCACUACCUGCUCUGCGCUGCUGCUGAUUAGACCUGAUGCGUGCUGCUCCGCCAGGUGAGCUGAAUUAGUGCAAUCAAGGGCGGGCGUGCCUAGUAAGCCUUAAAAUGCAUGCAGCAGUCAUUUGACCGGAGAGCGACAUACAGAGGACAGCAAACAAGGCAAUCCACUUGCCACUGUGAGGAAGACUUUGGACUAGACGGGCUAUCGCAGCGUAUUGGCUUCAGGAGCAGACUGUGAGCUGCUGUCCAGCGCGUCUUCACACCGCUAUCCCCACAUGGUCGACUCCAUCACUGCCUGUCUGGAUGCUUCCCUCUCACUGACUUUGUGUGAUUGCUGCUAAUAUCAAACAACAGUCGGUCUUCUAUAAAUGAUACCAAUCAUGGCCAAAGUGUCCCUGUACAGGUCUGCAGUUCCUUCACACCUUCAUCCAAACAGGAUGGAGGCUCUUAUCCCUCCUUUCUACCAAUCACAGGUCAAGUCAGUCUCUUUCACUGGUUGGACUCCAGUUGGCUUUGUUUGAUUUCAAUACCUCAUAGGUUUAUAUCCUCUGUGUAAGCACUGAUACAUGAGGAAAACCUAGCAGUCUGUCGCCCUCUGCUGUUCUCCCAGUGGUGUCAUAGGCCACCAUAUUGCCUCAGCUGAUGCAGUCCUGUGUAGCUGCAGUGAAGACCUCCAUGCUGGUGGUCCAGGGGUCUCAAGACACAGUGGACGUGGCUCUACAGGUCCAAAAGGACUGCUGCAGGCUGCAGGACACACUGGGCGACCUUUUGGGUUGCUACAUGCAACCAGGUGUAGAUUUCAGUGGGAGGGGGGAACAGGGAGCAGUUCUAGCUUUGACCACACCCACUGUGGUGUCCAUGUGACCCUGCUUCCCCUCCACAAUGUGACAUGUGUUCCCUGUCAUAUUAUCAGGAUUUGUUUGUAACUAAUGAUCCAGUUGAUGAACUAAUCAAACCUCGUUUCCAACGAUCUGUGAAAGAGUUCAGCUGUGAUGCAGCAGCUGAAGCCUUAAUAGGAACUUUGUUCUUUCUUUCAGUCACAUAAAGAAACAGUAACAUGAAGACGUUUGUUAUUCUAUAACACUCAUACAUUCACACUGUAAUGUUUAUCCAUAUACAAAGGUAAACUUAAGAAGUAUAGAUUUAUUUUUCAGUCAAAUCCUUAUUUAGCUGCUGUGCUUCCUCGGUGCUUCAUGCACUCACAGUCCACUGUGGUGGACUCACUCGAGUCUAAAUGCUUCAUUGUUUCAAUGGUAGAUGGACAACACUAACGUGACACUGUCACAGUGGGUACCUCCCACUACAGCUGGUCGCUUGGUGAAUCUGUUUGUAAGAAGCUGACCAACAGUGUUUGUUUCUUUUCAAUAAAUGUGUUUUUGGUUGUUUCAGAUAUGAAACAACUCUUUAAGUUACACAUUUCCAUCUAACCUAUCAGUUCAUUCCACUCUUAAGCUUUCAGAUGAUCCGUCUUCUCGUACUGUUGAGUGACAUAAGGAGGAACUGCAUCAAGUAUGAAAGUGUCAUCAUGCUAUAGCUAUCGUUUAACCUGUGCUCUGACCUUAGCUGUGACCUUCCUACUAGCAGGACAGCUGUGAACAUAUUUUACAUCCAAAUAUUUUACAGGUGCAUUUUUCAUUUCAAGCACUAAAUUGAAUAGAAGCUGGUAACUUUGCACUUGUGCUGUUGCUGCUGUAUAUUGUUCAAACCUCCCACAUGAAACCAGCACCAGUCUGAAUUUUCUGGCUGAUGUCACAACAUCCCAGCUUGACAGACAACAGCUGUUCUGUGAACCUGCUUUGGUUUCCAUUAUCAUGUUUGGUCCAUAUAGACCUGUGAGUAAAAGCUAAUGCUACUACUGUACUGAUUGUUGAACAGGAAGGUAAAUGUUGGCCCUGCAGGCCUCCAGUGGACAAAACAGGAUCUGACGCACUCGCUCAUGGCCUCGUUAAGGUUGCAUCACUGGGUGCAGAUAACAUGUUCAACAUCUACUUCUUUGCACCACCUUUCUUUCUAGAUUUUCACAAACAUUAGCCCCAGCUCUCCAUGGUUAACCUUAUUUGCUCUCAGUAACAACCUUUCCUCAUCACAGACAACCAGCACACUUCUUAAUGAGGAGCAGCUGUGCAGGACCUGGAACCAAAAGGCUACCUACUGAUUUUAAAAUACACAAU